UACAGAGGGUGCGAGCGUUGUUCGGAAUUAUUGGGCGUAAAGGGCGCGUAGGCGGUGCGGUAAGUCACCUGUGAAAUCUCCUGGCUCAACUGGGAGCUUGCAGGCGAAACUGCCGUGCUGGAGUGUGGGAGAGGUGCGUGGAAUUCCUGGUGUAGCGGUGAAAUGCGUAGAUAUCAGGAGGAACACCGGUGGCGAAGGCGGCAUCCUGGACCGGUAUUGACGCUGAUGCGCGAAAGCCAGGGGAGCAAACGGG
RNAcentral lists this ribosomal RNA (253 nucleotides) under uncultured bacterium. RNAcentral describes it as "partial 16S ribosomal RNA". It matches the Rfam family "Bacterial small subunit ribosomal RNA", at positions 524 to 776 of the family's 1533-position model. The record is from RNAcentral.